UGACCAGAUAACACACUAGUGGCGGACGGGUGAGUAACGCGCGGAUAACCUGCCUUAUACAGGGGGAUAACAGGGAGAAAUUCUUGCUAAUACCCCAUAGGUAUGUCUGACGCAUGUUGGACAUAUUAAAGCUUUGGCGGUAUAAGAUGGGUCCGCGUCUGAUUAGCUAGUUGGUGGGGUAAAGGCCCACCAAGGCGACGAUCAGUAGCCGGCUUGAGAGAGUGGACGGCCACAUUGGGACUGAGACACGGCCCAAACUCCUACGGGAGGCAGCAGUGGGGAAUAUUGCACAAUGGGGGAAACCCUGAUGCAGCGACGCCGCGUGAAGGAAGAAGGUCUUCGGAUCGUAAACUUCUAUCAGCAGGGAAGAAGGAAGUGACAGUACCUGAGUAAGAAGCCCCGGCUAACUACGUGCCAGCAGCCGCGGUAAUACGUAGGGGGCGAGCGUUAUCCGGAAUCACUGGGUGUAAAGGGUGCGUAGGCGGUAUGGCAAGUCAGUUGUGAAACCCCCUGGCUCAACCAGGGGCUUGCAAUUGAAACUGUCAUACUAGAGUGCAGGAGAGGAAAGCGGAAUUCCUAGUGUAGCGGUGAAAUGCGUAGAUAUUAGGAAGAACACCAGUGGCGAAGGCGGCUUUCUGGACUGUAACAGACGCUGAGGCACGAAAGCGUGGGGAGCGAACAGGAUUAGAUACCCUGGUAGUCCACGCCGUAAACGAUGAGUGCUAGGUGUUGGGGUCUAAUUAGAUCUCGGUGCUGAAGUUAACGCAUUAAGCACUCCACCUGGGGAGUACGAUCGCAAGAUUGAAACUUAAAUGAAUUGACGG
This 824-nucleotide ribosomal RNA is filed under the name uncultured bacterium. RNAcentral's name for it is "bacterial SSU rRNA". It matches the Rfam family "Bacterial small subunit ribosomal RNA", at positions 77 to 916 of the family's 1533-position model. The record is from RNAcentral.